This 86-nucleotide transfer RNA is filed under the name Alphaproteobacteria bacterium. RNAcentral describes it as "tRNA-Leu". It matches the Rfam family "tRNA". Rfam says of the family: Transfer RNA (tRNA) molecules are approximately 80 nucleotides in length. Their secondary structure includes four short double-helical elements and three loops (D, anti-codon, and T loops). The record is from RNAcentral. Lineage: Bacteria; Pseudomonadati; Pseudomonadota; Alphaproteobacteria.
GCGGACGUGGAGAAACCGGUAGACUCACAAGACUUAAAAUCUUGUGCCGAACAGGCGUGUGGGUUCGAGUCCCACCGUCCGCACCA